GGAGGAUGGACUUGAAGGUCUCAAAGAAGCUGGAAUACGCUCAUGAAGACGAAACACAGACAUUUGCAGAAAAUGAAGUGGACGAGGAAGCAGUAGAGUGUAAUAACGUGAUUGCUGCAAUUAGUGAGGAUGCAUCAUCUUUUGAGAGUAAUGCGAAUGUCCUGCAUAUCCAGUGAAAUAAGUCAUGAUGAACCUGACUGAAUGCAUUCAUCAACCAUCUCCAACCAAGUCAGAGCUUCAAGGACAGCUUGUGCUAAAGGUGCCUGAGCUUGAUUAAGAAAAAAAGCAUCUCCACUGGCCAAAGUUUACAAAAAAGCAAGAGAAUAGAAGUUUGCUGAUGAUCUAACAGGUAUUAACAUAAAGUGGGUAGCAUGAUCGCCUCAAAUCAUGAAGGUUGCUGGUUCGAGACUCGGCUGGGUCAGUUGGCAUUUCUGUGUGGAGUUUGCAUGUUCUCUCCAUGUUGGCGUGGGUUUCCUCUGGGUGCUCCGGUUUCAAAGACAUGCGGUACAGGUCCAAAGACAUGCGGUACAGGUGAAUUGG
Non-coding RNA from Danio rerio (zebrafish), 540 nucleotides. NCBI's taxonomy places the organism in Eukaryota, Metazoa, Chordata, Actinopteri, Cypriniformes, Danionidae. The record is from Ensembl.